This 378-nucleotide ribosomal RNA is filed under the name uncultured eukaryote. RNAcentral describes it as "partial 18S ribosomal RNA". It matches the Rfam family "Eukaryotic small subunit ribosomal RNA", at positions 592 to 976 of the family's 1831-position model. The record is from RNAcentral.
CAAUAGCGUAUAUUAAAAUUGUUGCGGUUAAAAAGCUCGUAGUUGAAUUUCUGUUGAGGGUGGUUGGUCCGCCCUCUGGGUGAGUAUCUGACACAACCUGAACAUUUUCUUGAUUGCACAACUGUACUUGACUGUGUGGGGUGGUGUUGAGAAGGUUUACUUUGAGGAAAUCAGCGUGUUUCAAGCAAGUCUUGCUUUGAAUACAUUAGCAUGGAAUAAUAUUCAAGGACCUUUGUUCUAUUUUGUUGGUUUCUGGAAUGAAGGUAAUGAAAAAUAGGGAUAGUUGGUGGUAUUUGUAUUUAAUUGUCAGAGGUGAAAUUCUUGGAUUUAUUAAAGACAAACUAUUGCGAAAGCAUUUGCCAAGGAUGUUUUCAUUGA